RNAcentral lists this ribosomal RNA (754 nucleotides) under uncultured Tulasnellaceae. RNAcentral describes it as "eukaryotic LSU rRNA". The stretch from base 217 to 370 matches the Rfam family "5.8S ribosomal RNA". Lineage: Eukaryota; Fungi; Basidiomycota; Agaricomycetes; Cantharellales; Tulasnellaceae. The record is from RNAcentral.
UANAGGAAGUAAAAGUCGUAACAAGGUUUCCGUAGGUGAAACCUGCGGAAGGAUCCCUAAACAGAAUCGUACGGUUGUGCUGGUUCUUACAGGUGCACGCCGUUACUUCUCUAUAUUCACCCCAUGUGCACCUUUGCGUCGCCGGUCCCUCCAGCUUCGCCUUAUUUACACGAAAUCUUUGUAUCGAAUGUCUUGUUGGAACAAUAAUAAAAAUACAACUAUCAACAACGGAUCUCUUGGCAUCCCACUCGAUGAAGAACGCAGCGAAUUGCGAUAAGUAAUGUGAAUUGCAGAAUUCAGUGAAUCAUCGAAUCUUUGAACGCACCUUGCACCUUUCAGUCUUCUGGAAGGUAUGCCCGGUUGAGUAUUAUGAUCACCUCAAACCUCUGGUUUUCUUAUUGCAAAGGCUAAUGCUUUGACGAAAGCGCCCAUCGGGGUGCUGGGAGUUGUUGCUUGGCUUGGAGAACCGAGAGGUCUUGGACUUGAGUGUAUUGUUGGUUCCACUUGGAUCAACCCACUCGAAAUGCAUUAGCUGGCGACCCGCUUCAACGGUUACCACUUGGCGUAGUAAGUCUUAUUCGUCAAGGACACCUUGCACCUUCACGGGAGCGGGGUGGCCGUUGUGCCGCGUCUUGAUAGCCGCUUCUAAUCGUCUCUGGACAAUACACGAACUCUUUAAUCUCAACUCGGGUAGGACUACCCGCUGAACUUAAGCAUAUCAAUAAGCGGAGGAAAAGAAACUAACAAGGNUCCC